UUCACGAUUGGGUGAAUAUGGAGGCAUGGC
This 30-nucleotide non-coding RNA is filed under the name Mus musculus (house mouse). Lineage: Eukaryota; Metazoa; Chordata; Mammalia; Rodentia; Muridae. The record is from RNAcentral.